This 81-nucleotide ribosomal RNA is filed under the name Lentzea fradiae. RNAcentral describes it as "Lechevalieria fradiae 16S rRNA. Bacterial SSU". It matches the Rfam family "Bacterial small subunit ribosomal RNA", at positions 1 to 79 of the family's 1533-position model. Lineage: Bacteria; Bacillati; Actinomycetota; Actinomycetes; Pseudonocardiales; Pseudonocardiaceae. The record is from RNAcentral.
CCUUAUUGGAGAGUUUGAUCCUGGCUCAGGACGAACGCUGGCGGCGUGCUUAACACAUGCAAGUCGAGCGGUAAGGCCCUU